Molecule: ribosomal RNA, 497 nt
Filed under: uncultured bacterium
Lineage: Bacteria
Description: partial 16S ribosomal RNA
Rfam family: Bacterial small subunit ribosomal RNA
Source: RNAcentral
GAUGAACGCUGGCGGCGUGCCUAAUACAUGCAAGUCGAGCGAACAGACGAGGAGCUUGCUCCUCUGACGUUAGCGGCGGACGGGUGAGUAACACGUGGAUAACCUACCUAUAAGACUGGGAUAACUUCGGGAAACCGGAGCUAAUACCGGAUAACAUGUUGAACCGCAUGGUUCAACAGUGAAAGACGGUUUUGCUGUCACUUAUAGAUGGAUCCGCGUCGCAUUAGCUAGUUGGUAAGGUAACGGCUUACCAAGGCAACGAUGCGUAGCCGACCUGAGAGGGUGAUCGGCCACACUGUAACUGAGACACGGUCCAGACUCCUACGGGAGGCAGCAGUAGGGAAUCUUCCGCAAUGGGCGAAAGCCUGACGGAGCAACGCCGCGUGAGUGAAGAAGGUCUUCGGAUCGUAAAACUCUGUUAUUAGGGAAGAACAAAUGUGUAAGUAACUAUGCACGUCUUGACGGUACCUAAUCAGAAAGCCACGGCUAACUACGUG